Molecule: long non-coding RNA, 1328 nt
Filed under: Ursus maritimus (polar bear)
Lineage: Eukaryota; Metazoa; Chordata; Mammalia; Carnivora; Ursidae
Description: lncRNA (ENSUMAG00000015051.1)
Source: RNAcentral
UUUAAAGAAAUAAUGGCUGCAAACUUCCCAAAUCUGGGGAUAGAUGUAGACAUCCAACUUCAUGAGGUUUAUUGGUCCCCAAACUCAACCUAAAGAGAUCUUUUUCACAUGGCAAGAUCUCAUUUUUUUUUUAUGGCUGAGUAAUAUUCCUGUGUGUGUGUGUGUGUGUGUGUGUGUGUGUGUGUGUGUGUGUGUGUUAUAUACCACAUCUUUAUCCACUCAUGUAUUAUUGAUGGACACUUGGGUUGCUUUUAUACUUUUUUUUUCAGAAAAUUAUCUAUUUUACAAAUUUCUUUUCAAAUAUGUUAACAUACAGAUUUACAUUUAAUCUACUGGUAAUUUAAAUGAACAAUCCUUUUACUUAUUGUCAGACCACCUUUUCCAUGUUUAUUUACCUAUUAUUCAAUCUUUUAUUCUUGACCAGAUUUUCUAGAGAUUUAUUAACAAUAUUAUUUUUUAAAGAAAAUAUAAGCUCUUAGAUUCAUUUUACUUUUAUUUUGUUUCAAAUUUACUUUUACUCUAAUUUUUAAAAUUUAAUUAUUUUUAUAAUUUUGCCAGGUCAACAAUUAGCUUAUUUUUAACAAGCUAUAUUGUAUAUUUAUCAUAAAUUUGCCUGAGUAUAUCUUUGCUUAUAUUUAGUGCAUUGCCAUACAGUUUUCUAUUUUUAUUUUCUUAUAUGUUCUUAAAUUUUAAAAAAGUGGGUUUUUUUGACCCUAACAUUAUAUAAAUUGUUGUUUUAUAGUUUUCUCAUCAUUUCUUCUCUUGGUUAUUGGCUGGGGGGGGGGGUUGCCCUUUUUUUUUUUUUUCUGCUGCUAAAAGCAAUAUACUCUCCUCAGUAGAUGUUGCUUAAGGGUACAAACUUGCAACUAGUAGAUAAAUAAGUAUUAAAGAUCUAACGUACAGCAUAGUGAUUAUAGUCAACAAUGCCGUAUUAUAAAUUUCAAAGAAGCUAGGUUGCUGAGACACUAGAUCUUAAUUGUUCUCACCACAAAAAAGACAUAAUUAUGUGAUAUGAUAGGGAUGUUAGGUUUAGCCAACACUAAAGUGGUAAUCAUAUUACAAUACAUAAAUGUAUGAAAUUAACACCUUGUACACCUCUUAUGUAUUCAGUGUUGACAAUAUGUCAAUUAUUUCUCAAUUUAAAAAACCCCAAAUAUUCUAUUUCCCCACUGGCUCUCCAUUUUAUAUAAUGUAAAGUCAAAGUACUUACAAGAUAUAUUGGGGGCUCUUUAAUUUAGCCUGAACCAUCAUCUGCGAUCUUCAUCCACUGUUUUGUCGCCAUUACCUGCUGAAAAUCCUCUCAACCACUUAUGUUGUAUGACUCCCUU